RNAcentral lists this ribosomal RNA (515 nucleotides) under uncultured bacterium. Its description in RNAcentral is "partial 16S ribosomal RNA". It matches the Rfam family "Bacterial small subunit ribosomal RNA", at positions 28 to 523 of the family's 1533-position model. The record is from RNAcentral.
GAUGAACGCUGGCGGCGUGCCUAAUACAUGCAAGUCGAGCGAAUGGAUUAAGAGCUUGCUCUUAUGAAGUUAGCGGCGGACGGGUGAGUAACACGUGAGUAACCUGCCCAUAAGACUGGGAUAACUCCGGGAAACCGGGGCUAAUACCGGAUCACAUUUUGAACCGCAUGGUUCGAAAUUGAAAGGCGGCUUCGGCUGUCACUUAUGGAUGGACCCGCGUCGCAUUAGCUAGUUGGUGAGGUAACGGCUCACCAAGGCAACGAUGCGUAGCCGAACUGAGAGGGGGAUCGGCCACACUGGGACUGAGACACGGCCCAGACUCCUACGGGAGGCAGCAGUAGGGAAUCUUCCGCAAUGGACGAAAGUCUGACGGAGCAACGCCGCGUGAGUGAUGAAGGCUUUCGGGUCGUAAAACUCUGUUGUUAGGGAAGAACAAGUGCUAGUUGAAUAAGCUGGCACCUUGACGGUACCUAACCAGAAAGCCACGGCUAACUACGUGCCAGCCGCCGCAGUAA